This 388-nucleotide long non-coding RNA is filed under the name Brassica napus (rape). RNAcentral describes it as "long non-coding RNA (BNAP_LNC018284)". Lineage: Eukaryota; Viridiplantae; Streptophyta; Magnoliopsida; Brassicales; Brassicaceae. The record is from RNAcentral.
UUGAGCAAUCAACUCCAUUUUUAUGUAGUGGAAAUAUAUUCCAUAACUAAUAAGAAUGCAUAUAUAAGGUCUAUUAUUCCAUCGAUGUGAAUCUUAUCUUAAACAUCAUCUCCACGACACCCGCCAUUCACUCAUACUUAUAAUAUUUAUAUAUAGACUAAACCCGGAAAACCACCAAGGCUAAUCGAGCCUAGAGGGGAAAUAAAUAUAACCAUCAUCUCCAUUAGAUACUCCAAGAUCGAACAUCUAACGCUGCAUGCAUUUACACGGCCUCCAGGGUGCGACCCCAUCAUCGUGUCUUAGUAACCUUGUUCCAUAUCGCAGGAACAAUUCACGGUAAUGCGGAACUUUCGGGAGAGUGAGUAUACAAUAAGACUUCACAUGAUUU